GCUGGCGGCAGGCCUAACACAUGCAAGUCGAGCGCCCAGCAAUGGGAGCGGCAGACGGGAGAGUAACACGUGGGAACGUACCCUUCAGUUCGGAACAACCCAGGGAAACUUGGGCUAAUACCGAAUACGUCCGUAAGGAGAAAGAUUUAUCGCUGAAGGAUCGGCCCGCGUCUGAUUAGCUAGUUGGUGAGGUAACGGCUCACCAAGGCGACGAUCAGUAGCUGGUCUGAGAGGAUGAUCAGCCUCAUUGGGACUGAGACACGGCCCAAACUCCUACGGGAGGCAGCAGUGGGGAAUAUUGGACAAUGGGCGCAAGCCUGAUCCAGCCAUGCCGCGUGGAUGAUGAAGGCCCUAGGGUUGUAAAGUCCUUUCGACGGGGAAGAUAAUGACGGUACCCGUAGAAGAAGCCCCGGCUAACUUCGUGCCAGCAGCCGCGGUAAUACGAAGGGGGCUAGCGUUGCUCGGAAUCACUGGGCGUAAAGCGCACGUAGGCGGACUCUUAAGUCGGUGGUGAAAUCCUGGAGCUCAACUCCAGAACUGCCUUCGAUACUGAGAGUCUUGAGUCCGGGAGAGGUGAGUGGAACUGC
Molecule: ribosomal RNA, 587 nt
Filed under: uncultured soil bacterium
Lineage: Bacteria
Description: bacterial SSU rRNA
Rfam family: Bacterial small subunit ribosomal RNA
Source: RNAcentral